GACUGGUCCAAAGGUAGGAAGUUAUCUCAAUUGAUUGUUCAUAGUCAGUUAGAGAUCGAACUCCUUGUUGUACUCUUUCCCCCCCUUUUACUACUGUGCUUGACUAAAAA
This 110-nucleotide Y RNA is filed under the name Delphinapterus leucas (beluga whale). RNAcentral's name for it is "Y RNA (ENSDLEG00000000850.1)". It matches the Rfam family "Y RNA". From Rfam's summary of the family: Y RNAs are components of the Ro ribonucleoprotein particle (Ro RNP), in association with Ro60 and La proteins. The Y RNAs and Ro60 and La proteins are well conserved, but the function of the Ro RNP is not known. In humans the RNA component can be one of four small RNAs -- hY1, hY3, hY4 and hY5. Lineage: Eukaryota; Metazoa; Chordata; Mammalia; Artiodactyla; Monodontidae. The record is from RNAcentral.